This is a long non-coding RNA of Ochotona princeps (American pika), 1919 nucleotides long. RefSeq lists it as uncharacterized. The transcript is spliced from 3 exons. NCBI's taxonomy places the organism in Eukaryota, Metazoa, Chordata, Mammalia, Lagomorpha, Ochotonidae. The record is from RefSeq and is a predicted model, not a curated record.
GCAGCGACUCGGGUUGCUGUCGCUACAGUUGCGGCUCGGUCGAGCUCCUCCUCCGCCUCCGCCUCCUGCUUCCCGCUGGGCCUCCCGCGUUGCCUGGAGAGGCCGAACUGAGCCUCCGCUUCCUCUUGGAGUCGCCCAGGACUGAACUGAGAUAUUUGGCCCAGAGACUAAACGGAUUGAAGUAAUUUCCACUGAAAGAAGUAGAAGAGCUGAAACAGUAUUGAUUCAAAAAGCUAGUAGUGGUGGUGUCAGAAGAAAGAGCCACAGAUAAUGCUGACUUCCAGCAACCACAACCGGAACCUGGAAACAAAUGAAAAAUAUCUCAGAGUCCAAGGAAAACAGAGGCCUAAAUUCCAUGCAUGUGAAGCAACAGUGGUGCCCUUAGGUCAAAGUCUAUUUUAUUUCUUAUAAAACUGUUGGAGCCAAUUAGCAUAAGGGCUCCCGAGGCCAGCUUUAUAUGCAGCACCUUUCUCUGUAUUUUGUUUCUUUUUUCUUUUUAGCUAAAAUCAUACACAUACAUUUGCCCUUACCUCUACUCAUUUCCUACUCAGACUUACUCUUCUCUCCCAUAUAGUUCAACAUUUACUGUCUUUUUCACGUGAGCAUUUUAAGACGGUCAAGUAGCUCCUCUCUUAAAGCUAAUCAAGUCUUCUACAGCCCUGCAGUCUUCACUCCCUCACCUCAGCCUUUAAUAAACACAUUUUUUUCGGUACUAUCUGUAAUUCCAUUCACAGGGCUACUUCCAAUAUAUGAGACAGCUUUGCUCAAGGGAGGAAACAGAGUCCUUUUGCUACAAGGAGAUGCAGUUGAGGUGGGAAAUCUGGAGGUUUUUAGCUUCAUGAGUGCCCCCUCUGCUGGAUCCCUCCAGCAGUACAUGCGAGACACAACAGAACAAUCUGCUGCUGCAGCUUUUCAGCGAUUCCCACUGUAAAUUUCUUACAUUUGCAACGACUGUUACUAAAACUUGGUUAAUGGGCUAAAAGUACGGAGAAAUUGUUCUGCCCUCAUUUCUUUCUGUAGCUUCAGGAUUGUACACUUGACCCUUUUGGCAACAGAGCCUUUGUAAAUUUCCUUGGGAACGCCUCUUCUGUCACCGCUGCUGCCCUCAGACUCAUUACUGUUUCCUGGCAGUCUUUUUCCAUCUUCCACUUCCUGAAUUUUUCUCUCUGGCAACUGAAGUAAAUUAUAUUAGUUUACGUGAAAAAUUAAAAGUGAAGUGUUGAAAGAAUGUCAGCUUUUGUUUAGGUUUCCUCCCACUUAUCUCUGCUCAGUAAAAUAGCUUAAAAGGAUAAUAAAAAGCAAGUUUCAGGCUGGUUGUCCAAAAAAAUUUACUUUUAGUCUACAAGAUAUAUAUAGUCAUUGCAAUGAACUUCUACAAUAACAAAGAAAUAGAAAUUCUUUGGCACUUCAUUUUUCAGAUACAGCCAUGUUAACAAUCGAGUUAGUUUCAUUGACUAUUCCCUGUGUAAUACACAUGCAUCUAACAUUUUUAAAAAUGGAUUAACAUAUGUCUGAACAAUUUUAUGCUUUUAAACUUACUUUGUGAGAGUUUUAACAGUUAAAAAUCUUGAAGGGAUGGGCAUUGUGGCACAGUGGGUUGCCGCUUGGGAUGCUCAUGCAAGUGCUGGGAUAAAGUUCCGCCUGUUUCUGAGUUUCUUUCUAAUGCACACUCUGGGAAACAAAAGAUGAUGAUGCAGGAACUGGGAUUCAUGCCACCCUCAUUGGAAACCGGGUUAGAAUUCCUGGCUCCUUGUUGGCAUGGCCUAGCCCUGGCUAUUGCAUACAUUUGGGAAGUAAACCAGUGAAUGGAAGUUCUCUUUCUCUUCAUCUCUCUCUCCCCCUGCUUCUUUGCUUUUCAGAUAAAAAUCAAUUUAAAAAACUGAGAGGCAGGCAUCUUGGUGUAGAGGUCUAAGCUGCCA